GAUGAACGCUGGCGGCGUGCCUAAUACAUGCAAGUCGAGCGAACGGACGAGAAGCUUGCUUCUCUGAUGUUAGCGGCGGACGGGUGAGUAACACGUGGAUAACCUACCUAUAAGACUGGGAUAACUUCGGGAAACCGGAGCUAUACCGGAUGAUAUUUUGAACCGCAUGGUUCAAAAGUGAAAGACGGUCUUGCUGUCACUUAUAGAUGGAUCCGCGCUGCAUUAGCUAGUUGGUAAGGUAACGGCUUACCAAGGCAACGAUGCAUAGCCGACCUGAGAGGGUGAUCGGCCACACUGGAACUGAGACACGGUCCAGACUCCUACGGGAGGCAGCAGUAGGGAAUCUUCCGCAAUGGGCGAAAGCCUGACGGAGCAACGCCGCGUGAGUGAUGAAGGUCUUCGGAUCGUAAAACUCUGUUAUUAGGGAAGAACAUAUGUGUAAGUAACUGUGCACAUCUUGACGGUACCUAAUCAGAAAGCCACGGCUAACUACGUG
RNAcentral lists this ribosomal RNA (496 nucleotides) under uncultured bacterium. RNAcentral describes it as "partial 16S ribosomal RNA". It matches the Rfam family "Bacterial small subunit ribosomal RNA", at positions 28 to 507 of the family's 1533-position model. The record is from RNAcentral.